RNAcentral lists this ribosomal RNA (465 nucleotides) under uncultured bacterium. RNAcentral's name for it is "partial 16S ribosomal RNA". It matches the Rfam family "Bacterial small subunit ribosomal RNA", at positions 28 to 507 of the family's 1533-position model. The record is from RNAcentral.
GAUGAACGCUGGCGGCGUGCUUAACACAUGCAAGUCGAACGGAAAGGCUCCUGCUUGCAGGGGUACUCGAGUGGCGAACGGGUGAGUAACACGUGGGUGAUCUGCCCUGCACUUCGGGAUAAGCCUGGGAAACUGGGUCUAAUACCGGAUAGGACCACAUCUUGGAUGGUGUGGUGGAAAGUUUUUCGGUGUGGGAUGAGCUCGCGGCCUAUCAGCUUGUUGGUGGGGUAAUGGCCUACCAAGGCGUCGACGGGUAGCCGGCCUGAGAGGGGGUACGGCCACAUUGGGACUGAGGUACGGCCCAGACUCCUACGGGAGGCAGCAGUGGGGAAUAUUGCACAAUGGGCGCAAGCCUGAUGCAGCGACGCCGCGUGGGGGAUGACGGCCUUCGGGUUGUAAACUCCUUUCGCUAGGGACGAAGCGCAAGUGACGGUACCUGGAGAAGAAGCACCGGCUAACUACGUG